Molecule: long non-coding RNA, 2476 nt
Filed under: Lupinus angustifolius (narrow-leaved blue lupine)
Lineage: Eukaryota; Viridiplantae; Streptophyta; Magnoliopsida; Fabales; Fabaceae
Description: long non-coding RNA (LANG_LNC003235)
Source: RNAcentral
AAAAAUGGAAGAAUCACGUGUAAAACCAAAAAGAGGUAAUUGAGGGGUGUUAACCCCUUUGCCCAUUUCACGUAGAACAAGUUGGGAAGGGAAAAAUUGAAAUCCCUAAUCCCCAACUCCUUCUUCUUUCUAGCUCCAUCUCCGGCGGUGGUGACGGGUUGUGCCUUUCCGGUGGCUUCGCUCCGAGCUUCUGUUUCGUUCUCCGAAUCUCUCGGUGGUUCCCGGUGGAGGCGAGACGGAACCAGUGGUAGUGCGAUGAUGCUUCUUCGCGAGUUCUUCUUUUCCAUCUCUCUCGCAGCAAGGGGAAUUGAAAUCCCCCAACUUCGUUUUUAUCCUUUUCAAUGCCAGCUUCAAAUUGAUGGAGGAAGACAAUAAUGUCAAUCCUCCAAGGCUUUCUCGGCUAAGACGUGGUCUCAAAACCACCACCCCGAAUUUGAAUCGGGUGGUUCACGAUGGCUCAGCCUCCCCCCGAUGGGUUACGGCGGUUCCGAAUCGGGUAAUCAUUGCUUUAUUAUUUUUUUUGUCAAUUUCCUACUUUCUAUUGAUUCUCGGUUCCUAUUUUUAUGAACUCAUGCACUUUCUAUUGGCCUUUACAGAGUGAUGAUCCGGGGUCAUUAAUGGUUGAGCCAGAACCAAUUAAGGCAUACCGAAGACCUACGCCAUGCCGACUAAGUCGAGCAUCUCCCCUUAGCGAUCACUCGCAACAGAUCAGAGGAGAGGUAAUCAUUCUCCUUUAUUUACAAUGAAUCCUUACCCUUUGUAUGAACUUCAUUAAGGUUCCGAUCAGUAAUAACAAGGGAAUAAUCCCUUUUCUAUGAAGAUUUUGCCUAAUCCUAUUGAUGGUACUAAUUGAUGGAAACAUAUAGGCUAAAACAAAUUUCAAUCAUGCUUUUUACAUUCCAAUCCACUAUAUGUAUACGUGUUUCUGUGUUAUGAUCGAUUAUAAACAGUUAUGAAUUAAUCAUACAAGUCUAACGUGUAAGCCAUAUAGAGCGGGGAGUGUUCAUAAAACAAAAUUUAUGGUUUUGAAUGCUUACCUGAGUAUGCUCUCCUUCCUGUGUUGUAGGUGUAUGUAGCCUGAUAUUUCUGUGUGCUGGUGUAGGCGUGGAUUUUCUGAUUGGUUACGAGCUUUGUACGUCACUCUGCUUCUGUGUAAUCCGGUUUAUUUUCUUUAUAUAGCUCUCUGAUUUAUUAGAUGUAUGAUAUUUGUGUUGUAAUCUCUGCCUCUGUUGUGAUGUAUAUGUAUCUGUAAUCUCUGUUCUCUUUUUAUCACUGUUGCAAUGUCUCUCUGAUUUCUGUAGGCUUGUGUAUAUCUCGUUUCUGCUUUUUGUUUCUGGAUGCUUUACUGCACUAUCUCUUGGCUGAUUUCUCGUGGUUAUGUAUGCGUAGCUAUGUUGUGUGUCCCUGAAUGUGUUCUUAUCUAACGUUGCUUUUACUGACUUCCUGUUGAGUUCUUGCUUUUGUUCUCUGGUUCCUGCCUUUUGUUCUCUGGUUCCUGCCUCUGUGUGUAUUUGGACUGAUGUGUAUCUGCUUGAUCUUUCCUAUUUUUGUGUUCUCUUUUCUCACGGAGUCCCCCUCUCUUCUGAUUAUUUCUGCCCGUUUAUAAUGCUUUAGGUUUCUAUGUGAAAACCUCUUGGGUUGCUCCUUAGGAUUCAGCAACGUACGUGGCUUUUUGCUUUCUGAUUUACUGCCUUCAGGUUUCUCAUGAAUGCUGCCAUUUAUGCUGAUUAUGACUGUGUGUAUGCGUAACUGCAAGGGGCAUAACCUCUGGUUUACCACCGCUUCUUUCAUGUAUAACCUUUGGAUGUUUGCUAUGGAUAUUUUGCACUUAUGUUGAAUAUGUAACUGAAGGGAAAGAUAUCAAUAGCAAUAAUUCCUGUUUGCAUCUCUUCAUUGCCAUCUUUUACAAUUCUACUGAUUAGGAUUCUCGGCUGAAUCAUUUUUCUCUCCUUUCUUGCAUUUAAUAAUGACUCGAAAUGUAACAGCCUGCAGUGGUAGUGUAUGUGCUUUACCUGACAUUUGGUUUCCCUUCAUAUAAGGUUCUGAACGUGGCUAAUAAAGAGCCAUGCUCUUGGUAAUUUGAAGUGUUGUUGAAGGUACACCACGUGCUGCUGAUGAAUUGAGGAUUUUACUCAAAGCAUGAUUAGGACCUGGCUCCCAUUCUGGACACCCUGCAAUAAUAACGCCACGUCCAGCUACCUUUCCAUUUGUAGCAUUUGUGAUACUGCCAUCUUAAAAUUAUGUAGAAUAUAGAUUAUGAGUUACUUCCAAGAGUCUAGUCACUGUUUUCUUUUGAUCCAUAUCAACAGCAGCUUCGAAGGCCUCCAUAGAACAUUUGUAAAUGGUUGGUGAAUGAGGGACGAUACAUUCCUUCAUGGGAUUGAUUUAUUUGAGAGUUUUAAGCAUUUCGACGCAUAUGAUCAUUUGUUUGCUACUUUACUUUUUUGAAUAUGCAAGUAGUCCAUUAUUUUCUUGC